Molecule: long non-coding RNA, 489 nt
Organism: Erinaceus europaeus (western European hedgehog)
Lineage: Eukaryota; Metazoa; Chordata; Mammalia; Eulipotyphla; Erinaceidae
Exons: 3
Source: RefSeq, a predicted model, not a curated record
CCUCCUGGGCGCGCACAGCUCCAGCCCAGCGCUCCGCUCCGCUCCGCCGCCGCCACGCCGCUCUCCAAGCUUCACCAGGACCCCCGGCCUUGGCUACCGGCUCCUGGCUCUCCGCGCCCGGCCUCUCGGACCCACGACCUCGUCAUCUCCCAAGUCCAGCUUCGCAGGCAAAUCCCGACAAGCUUUGCAGAAAAAAACUGACAAUGAAAUUUCCGAAGUCCUUCUAUGUCGGCGCCAUGUUCGAGCGGAGCCAGAGCAACGGCUGACCCUCUCCUGAAGCGACAAGGCGCCUCUCGGCGACUGCUCUUCAUAAGUAACUUUUGUCCAUAGGGAAAAUCCCUAAAACGGGAGGCCAUGGUGGCAUCAGUAGAGUGUCACUCGUGGUCCCGUCUCUGGGACAAUGAGUUUGCAGAGCGAUUUGGAAGGGACCUGCCCGCACCUUUAGCACCACAGCUGUUUCGAAUGUGAAAUAAAAAAAGACUCGCACUA